This 100-nucleotide microRNA precursor is filed under the name Marmota monax (woodchuck). The record is from RNAcentral. Lineage: Eukaryota; Metazoa; Chordata; Mammalia; Rodentia; Sciuridae.
AAUGGGAUAACUGGGUCAAAUGGUUCCAUUCCAAAUUUUUUGAGGAAUCUCUAUACUGCUUUCCAUAGUGGUUGCACUAAUUUGCAUUCCCAUCAGCAAU